GCUAACUGGACAAUCUGAACGAGUCACACCACACACUCAGCGGCUGCUGUCUGCAUCAGCGUGUACCAAAAGGAAACGAACCUGGUGACUUAACUGGAUCCAACUUAAAGAUUAAUGACCCUCCUACACACACAGAUGGAAGGCCGAGGACAUCCAUUUUUCUUUUUCAUAUCUGAGCCCUCAGCCCAUCCAGAACAGGACCUGUAAAACAGCUACAAAGUUAUCUCGUGGACUCCGGGGGAGAGGUACAACAAAAGCAUCUCUUAGCAAGGGAAGUAAAAGCCAACGGAGUAGAAAAUCACCUCCAACGCCAGCCCCGCCUCUGUCUGGAGACAUCUGUCCAACAUUAAUAAGCCAUUUAGAGAAAUAUAAGGGAGAGAGAGGGGAGAGUCAUGGGUAAGAAGGACAUUAUGAGACAGAAGUGAGGAGGGUGAGGCAGGCAGAAGACGAGGAAACCACCCAAGUGCCAAAGAGGAACCACUACCCUGAGACAACGCCGCCUCUCUCCUGGCCAGCGUGCACCUCAGCUCUGUGGAAGAAGCAAGGGAGGUUCUGGAGGUUUCUUAAGGAGAGUUUAAGAGACCAGAUGUCCAUCCAUCCUCUCACAGCACAUUCUUAAAAACAAUUUGCAAGAGCCCAGGCAUUCCAUUCAAAUUAGGAGAUGUUUUGAAAAGAAAUGAAGACUUUAGCCACUGAUACAGGCCCUCUGGAAGGGCAGGACAGUUAAGACUCCCGUAUCAGAGUUUUCUAGCCAACCUCAGAAUCAUGGCUGGGCGGCAGCAGGAUCCCUGAAAGACUCCACGAAUGCUGUGGGCAGACUCCUUCUGAGAGGGUGAGUCCAUGACAGCAGAGCAAAGGCAUGGCGGUAGAAACAGCUGAGCGCUCACAUCUGGAUCUGCAAGGACAAGGCAGUGAGCACACUGGAAAGGUGGCCCAUCUUCUGGAAGCUCAAAUUCUGCACCUAGUGACCCACCUCCUUGAACAAGGCCACCCCUGCUAAUUCUUCCUGAAUUGUUUACCAACUGGGAACCAAGUAUUCAAACAAAUGAGCCCUCAGCAGCCGUUCUCAUUCAAACCACCCAGGAGUGAGGGAGGCGAAAAAGACAAACACUUAGACACACCGAAGGCUGGGACGGGGUUGAGGGAGAUGCCUCAGCGCCCAAAAGCUCAGAGCGUAUUUUAGAUACAGUUGAACAGAGAGUGGGGUUAUUGUAUACAGCUGAACAAGGUGGCGGGGUUAUUGCAUACAGAUAAAGAAGGAGGCAGAGCUUAUGGUAUAACACUGGGCCAAGGAGACAAGUUUAGCCAAACUUGGCAGGAGCAGUCUUCAGGCCAAAAUAUGGAGGAGUGGACAAGAAGCUAUGGUGGGCACUUUUUUCUGCAUAUAUUAGCAACAUCCACAUGUGGAAGGCUUCGCUGUCCGGCUGAGCCUUACUCUAGAUCAGUGGUUGUCAACCUUCCGAAUGCUGCGACCCUCUAAUAUAGUUCAUGUGGCGGUGACCCCCACACACACCAUAAAAUACUUUCAUUGCCAUUUCAUAGCUGUGAUUUUGCUACUGUUAUGAACCAUCAUGUAAAUACUUUUGGAGAUAGAGGUUUGCCAAACAGGUCAUGACCCACAAGUUUGUCACGGGCAUUUCUAUUGCGUUUAUUAGUGUAUAAUCAUUAUACAAAACAAUAGAUUUCGUUAUGACGUUCUCAUGCAUGUAAGUCAUGUACUUUGGUCAAAUUCAGUUCCCAUUAUCCUUUCUCACUCCCCUUCCUUGACACAAAAGCAUUUAAUCUUUCUGUCUAUCCCUGUACCAAUACCAUCCUGCCUCCUUAUUAAAGUUUUGAUAGCUACACGGUAAUUCUUACUUUUAUGUUCUUUAAGAAUUUCUUGGAGAAUGGGCCUCUAUGUAAUUGCAUUGGUUAAUUAUAGAGAUCUUUCUGUCUGUUAUUCCCAGCUGGGUAUCAUGAUACGUGUCUUUAACUCCAUCACUCAGGAGACAGCAGCAGGAAAACCAUGACUUCCAGGCUAGUCUGAGAUAGAAAAGAAAAAGCUCUGUUUCCUAAGCUCCAGGGCAGGGCGUGUAGCUCAGUGACAGUGUUUGCCGAGCUCUAAGUCUUUCCUUUUCACCCCAGCACCUUUAACCUAUACACACAGACACGCAGAUGCGCAUGCACAUUAUUCUUCUCAUCUGUUCUUCUUCGUGAUCUUUCAUGAGACCUUAGAAUGAUCUUUAUAAAGGUCAGGCAUGUGUUCUGUUAGAUUCGUCUCCUGGCACCUUCUUCCUUGAUAUCAUUCUAAAUAGAUCUGUUGCUAAAAUUUCUCCCCGGGGGAAAAUUUAAACAAUGUCUAACUCCUCUGCCUGUAGCUCCCAACAACAAGCUAAGGUACAGUUCCCCAUUCACCCAGGGAAACCGAUGAUGAGUUUCUUAGACUUAAGAGCUAUGAGCAAGGGAUUAUGGUCAGGAAUGUGGGUGGUUUAAAGCAGCCACGCCAGGUCUGCACAUACCAUGGGAGAUGACUCCCACUGGCUUUGAAGAUAGAGGUCUUCUCCCCUAGUUUUUCCUUGCCUAUAUAUUCCAGCCCCUUCCCAAAGCCAUGUCAAGUUUGAACAGAAUUCCAUACAACAGUUUGAGAGACAUGGCUGGAUGCCUGGGUGAGGGUUCCAUGAUCUUCUCUGUCCUUCCUGCCAUGAGGGAAUGUCAACCGUGAACAAACCCAACUGUAACGAACCUUUGCAUGGUGGCCAUUUGUCUCAGAGAAAGUUGUAUAUAGUAAAACACAAAACAACAACAAAAACUUCCUAUUUGUUGCCAUUGUUUUUAGAUGCUAAUGACUUAGUAUGUUGACUCUGACAUCGAGCAACAUUAUAAAGGUUUACACUCUGCUCACUAUUCUCAUAUUCUUUUGACUAUUUGCAUACUCCAUCACAUCCUUGUAGUUUUCCCCCUGCCAAUUUGGAUAUAUAUUUUACUUCUUACCUCACUCUACUGCUUUGGUCCUCAUACAAUUCUGAGCAAAAAAUGUGGCAAACACAACACUUGUGCUCAGUUUCCAAGGAAAGGGUGACUUGUGAUCUUUUCUGUAGGUUUCUAUAAAUACCCUUCUUCAAGAAAAGCAUUCCUGAGAGAUGUGGUGGCAAUUGUCUUUAAUCCUCGCACUCAGGGAGGCAGAGGCUGGUGGAUCCCUGUGAAGCCAGUCUGGUCUACAUAGAAAGUUCCAGACUGGCCAGGGUGUCAAAGUGAGAGCCUGUGGUAUAAAACAAACAAACAAACAAAAGAGCAUUCCUAGUCUUCUGUGAACUUGGUCUGGGUGGAUAAUGAAUGUCUGCAUCUGUUCAGAUCAUCACCAAUUCUUUAAUGUGGUGAAUUACAUUAAUUGGUUUUCUCAUUGUAGCCCAACUUCUAGUAGGUUUGGUUAUGCUCUUAUUUCGCCAGGUUGAAAAUGCUAAAAUGUCAUUCAGGGGUUUUGCAUCUGUAUUUGAGUGAGAUUGGACUUGAUUUUUUCUUUUUCAUGCUCUUCUCAUCAGGUUUUGGUGUGAAUGCUACACUCGAUUCAUGAAACAAACUGGGAAAGAAGCUACCUAUCCUACACUCUGGGGUAGCUUGUAUGAGACUGAUUUCUUACCAGUCCAGUGUUGGACCAAAAGCUUUCGCAGAACUGUUUCAGGUUGAAUGUUUCCUUCUGGAAAAUAGCUACUGGUGUAGAUAGACAUUCUUGCAUGAUUAUGACUCUGUCCUGACUUCCUUGUUCAGUUUUCAAAUCGAUUUGCACAAAAACAACAUUCUCUUUGUAAUUUCUAGAUUGUGUGUGAUUAUAGUUUUUAUGUUAUUUACACUGGUGUGUUCCUUUUUUUUUCUCUCUUCAUUGUUUUCCAAAAGGAUUGUAAAUUUAUGAGUCUUAGAUAAACAAACUUGGGCAGGUAUUGUUUCUGCUGUGUGUUUGUUUCUAGUUUUAUUAUUUUUCCUUAAUUACUUUCUUCUAUUUGCCUUUGUUUUGCUGAUUUUUUUCUAGCCUCUACGCUCUUUACAUUUCAAAAUUUUUCUCUUACAAUUCUCUUACAAUUACUGGUUCAGUUUUUGCUUCUGAAGCUUUAAUACAUCGUACCAAAUAUCCGAUAUAUAACACUGAAGCAUUACUAUAUUUCCAUACAGCUUUGUUUCUUGACCACGGCUUUCUUAGUCAACCAGUUUUUCUAGUUAUCUUUUCUUACUUAAUUUUCAUUAUUUUUUUAUUAUCAUUUGAGAUAAGGUUUUACUCUAUACCCAAGCGGGCCUCAAAUUCUUGAUCUUCCUGCCUCUCCCUCCCAAUUCUGGGAUUAUAACCCUGCACUACCAGGCUAGUUACAUUUUAAAAAUGAAAUCUUGUCUUAGUUAUAUUGUAUGUGGUCACAGACUCUAAUUGAUGUGCUCCAAAUUAUUCAAAAUGCUUCUAGACCUGCUUUAUGGCUCACAUGUGUCAAUUUUAGUGAGGUUUUGGAGUGGGCUUGCAAAAAACCUAUUAUUUCCCCCAUUCUUUUAUUUUGCUUCUGGUGAUCCAUUUUUACUGGUCUUCUAUUAAGCAUAUGGUAUCUUUUCCUUCUGCCCUUUAAGAAAGAGUUGCAGGAAGCAAUGUUCAAAUCCAGGUUUAGCAAAUACCCUUCAGGCCAAACGCUGAAAACUUUCUGCUCUCUUUGGCUUCUGGCCUUCAUCCUGUCUUGGUGCUACUUCACUUCUAAGUUUCGUGCCAAUUCACAGACUUUUCCAGAAUGUAUUUUAAACGUUUCGCUUUGUGUGUGGGGGUGGGGUGGGGUGGAGGAAUCCCCGAGUGUGUGAGGUCCUGAGUGAAUUCGUGUUGUUGUUAUGGGAUCAGCUAUAUACAGGACGCUAGCCUCAGACCAGAGGGAAAUGGAUAGCCUUCCCUUUUGGUCUGUGUGUGGAUAUUGACAGUGUGUAUAGAAAACGUCCAUGGUAACUUUCUUCUCUGAGGGUUUCAGGGCUUGAAGACUGACUGCUCCCCUCCAGAGCUUUCUCUACGAAGACUAACCCCAUCUCUUUUGUCUGGCUGGACACCACAGACUCUGCCUCCUUGUUUAUGUGUACGUAAUAACCUCACCUCUUUGUUCAGCUGUGGGAAAUAACCCUGCCUCCAAGUUCAACUGUAUGUUAUGAACACGCCAAGCCUCCUGGGUAAUGCAGUCUCUCCCACUGAGAGUUCAGAUCACUCAAUCCCAGAUUUCUGUCUGUCUGUCUUUUCUUCAUUCUCUUGCCACCACAGGCAGGUCUGUCCCUAAAGCCAGGCAGCAACCUUGUAUUUUUCCUUUUAGUAGGAAAGAUUGUCUGAUCCCCCAGACAAGCAUAUUCCUAGAAAAAUAAAUGCGUCUUUAUUGGGCAAUAGGUGUUCAUUGAUUGCCUGGAAUGCACUGAGGAAGAGCUAUGAUUGCUACCUCUAUGUGGUCAACCUAUGGGCUUCAGAAAAAAGAGUCAUUGAUUGGGGGUGGGUAGU
Peromyscus maniculatus bairdii (prairie deer mouse) is the source of this 5473-nucleotide non-coding RNA. The record is from RefSeq and is a predicted model, not a curated record. Lineage: Eukaryota; Metazoa; Chordata; Mammalia; Rodentia; Cricetidae.